Molecule: long non-coding RNA, 261 nt
Filed under: Sorghum bicolor (sorghum)
Lineage: Eukaryota; Viridiplantae; Streptophyta; Magnoliopsida; Poales; Poaceae
Description: long non-coding RNA (SBIC_LNC015016)
Source: RNAcentral
UGAUGACAUAGCAGAACUUUGUGCUUCUUUGGUACAUACUACAGUGUUUCCACAACCUUCUAGGCCACAAUGAUGAGUCAGCAAGCUAAUAUGUAUACAAAUAGUUCACAUAUCAGCAAUCAGACCCCAUGGGACGAAGUUUUAAGUUGAUUGAAGGAAGAUUUGUAUAAAUCUUUAGAGGAAAGGUCUGGGUGUACAUUUUAAAUUAGCUUGGAGUACUUAUUGUUAGACAUAUCGUUCAUGUUUCGAUUACAUGAAAGC